Molecule: long non-coding RNA, 2638 nt
Filed under: Anas platyrhynchos platyrhynchos (common mallard)
Lineage: Eukaryota; Metazoa; Chordata; Aves; Anseriformes; Anatidae
Description: lncRNA (ENSAPLG00000024670.1)
Source: RNAcentral
AUGUUUAGCAACGUGACUCAGCCCCAAUUGUUCCAGCGAAUCCAAAGACGACUUUGCUUCCAGAUUCCCAUGUACCAAAGUGUCGUGCGUGUAAUCACCUAUUGUAAACACACAUUUUCCAGCGCUGCAAAGGGAGACAAACAGUUGCAAUGCCAAGGCAAUUCAGAAAAGCUGCUCCAUGAAGCUGAUCCAAAGCCCACUGAAGUCAAUGAAGCCUCAAGUAAGAACAAGAAUGAACAAAACAUCUGUAUGUAUCUCCUCUGGCUUAGGGCUGGCUGGGGGCUGUUACAACCCCAGGUUUUUGAUGGAGCAACCUCCAUGCUGCUCUAACUCUCCCCCUUGCAUGCCUGGAUUUAACACACUGGUUACAGCCUGAUGUUUUAUCCAUAUUCCCAUCCCUCCUCUGAACUGUGCUUCCUUGCUCAAAUGCUCCAGCACAGAGCUGUUUGAGGAAACAGUCCUUCAAAUCUGGCACUGUCUGCUGAGGCUUACAAACUUUCUGAUUAGAAAAGCAAAAGGGAAGAGCAAGGUCACUCCAGACCUUCAGAGGGUCCCCAUGGGUGAUACACAUCUGCAAGACUAUCAGCCACCUUCUUCCAGCCAUGAGGCCAUGCAGCACCUGGUCAAGGAAGGUGUGACCCAGGUGGAGGGUCAGGGACCUGCAGGGGACAUCCCAGGAGCCAGUGGAUGUAGGUACAAUGAGGGGAGGUAAGAUACAGUCUGGUAGGUGACCACUGCCCCUGUUAAGUGACAGCAGUGCCUGAGCAGCAGUGCCAAAGGGCCACAGCUCCUCGUGCUCCGUGCCCUGCCACCUGAAGGGAUGGGUCACAAGCCUUCUGGCUGAUCUUCCCCGCUUCUUGCCUGUUUGCCACAUUUUAACAUUAGUUCCCGUGUUUAAUGUUUCAGAUUUAUGUGUAGUUAAAAAAGAAGUCGGAGCGUGCCAGUUAUUUCUCCAAGGUUUCAGAACACAAACUUUGCAGCUCUUCUGUUGUUUUGCAUAGGCUGCCACAGAUGGAAGACAGAUAUCUGUCCGCCAACGUUUAAAGAGGACCAGAUUUUUUUGUUUAGAGUUUUUCACUGUUUAGCACUCCCAGUCGCACAAUCAGCCAGACCAAUCCUUCCCUCCAUAAAAAGCACAUACAUGAAUGAACACGAGAUACCAUUGUCUGUGCAGGAUUCACACACAGAAAGACAUCUGCAGAGCACUGGGACUGCCUUGACAGUUAGUUUUGGAAGGAAAGGGGUCAACAACUUCUAACCUGGCUUGGAAAGCUCUAAAAUUAAUGUAACUGUCUGCCAAAAGGGAAAGGAAACUGAAAGGGAAGGAAAACAAAGUUGCUUAGUAGCCAUUUCAGCUAGCAUCAGACAGGAAGAUUUGCUAUUUCCGAGUCUUUCCAACUGAAAUAUCUGCGGGAAGUUGUUGUGAGAAGUCUUGCUAAAUCAUCUGUACUCCUUUCCCAGCUGAUGAUUUAGACUGACCUCAUAUUCUCCAGCUUCCUUCUGCAGCAGAUACAGUUGGUCUCUGCCAUCGUACCUGAUCCUCCACAAAAGUUUUCACAACCUUCAGGCUCAUCACAACAGCCCUGCGAGCAUAAGCUGAAGCCAACUUGACACAACAGAUUCGGUUUUUCUCUCCGAGGCACACAUAUGUCACAAAGAUUGCAGUUCAUCACCUACGCUUCACAAAUGUUGCUGAGCACGCUCGAGUGGGAUAGCACUUGCAAACAGGACAGCACUGAUGUUUCUUUUAUAACUUAAAAAGAGAAAAAAUAUGGCUAAUGUAAGUCUGUUUGAAGUUAAGUUCACAAUUCAUGCUCUGUGAACUGUCUUAUGCUGUGUCCAAAAGCUGCACAGAAAAAAAAAAAAAAAAGAAAAAAAGUUGUCACUGGAAUCAUGUGCACAGCCCUGGGAAUGAGGCUUUUCUUCUGCCCCAACAUCUCCUGAGCUUGAAUACUUCAGGGCUUACAGAUUCAGUAGGGUGGGGUCAUUGGGUGGUGCCUGAAUGCCUGUGUGGACACAGGCAGAAGUUUCCAGGAGCAACAGAAAGUAAACUAUGCCACAGAAGUCGCACAGUGCUUACUGAUUUCUUCCUUGCGCAUGACGUCUUGGGAAAACUUGAGGGAGAAAAUGAAUGCUGACAACUGACAGGCAUCGGGCAGUGUCUUGAGGAAAGCAGGGAAAUGUGUGUCCCCAUGGACAAGGGCACCGGUGGAGGGAGGGGAGAGGAGAGGUGGCUGCUUCGCUCCCAGACAGGGAUUAGAAGUCGCAGGUGAACCAAGGCCACCUGCCCUACUAAUAGCAGCAGCUUCCUGCUCAAAAUAAGGAGCAAGUUCACGCAUUUGUUCUCCACUUGGGUUCAGACAUAAGCUGCAACACAGAUGUUCGCAGGGCACAAAGGGGACACCCAGCAGAGCUGGCUGCAAAAGAAAAUUUACAGGAAUGACAGCAAGUUUCCUUUUACAGCAGGCUCUCUAGAGAGGCAGUAAAAAGGAAGCUCAUUCUGCUAUCAUUUUUUCUUAAGCUCCUCCUUGUGUAAGAUCCCACUGCUGCCAAUCUCCAGAGACUGAAAAUGAAUUAGAAAGAGGAGGAAAAAGCAAAAACCACGGGAAAGCAAAAUAAAGAAGCAAAAGAGAAAACA